CUGAGCUAAGCACAUAAAGGCAUUAAAGUGCAUUUCUUCCACAGAAGACAUCUACACCAAAAAGCUUGAAGCCAUGUCUCUGAAUAAAGAUGAGCCGCAUGAAAGUUGAGGGAUAAUUUCAAAGCAGAAGAUGUGAAACAGCUGUUUAUACUGGAUGGACUUUUCUUUGACCUCAGAUCUGUUAAAGAGGUGGAAUUUGUUUCUGAAGACAUUACAUCAAAAAUGACUUUGACUGCUGCAAAAAGCUGUCGAAGAUUUGAAUUCCAAAAUUGAGGAGCUUACAAGUUACAAGAAGAACACUGUCAUAAAAGCCACAUUAACUGCUGCUGAAAUGUCUGACCCCCACACAAAGGAAGUGCUAACUUUCCAAGUGGGACUGAUUUCUGGAGUCAUGUUCUCCUUUUUGUGCUGGACUGCAGCAACUAGUGCAUAAAGUGUUUAUGUACCAACUCAUUUGUACAUACCGAAGAUACAGUGUUUCAAAAUGCUUUAACCAUCUGUAUGUCCAUUUUAAACAUGAUUUUACCAUCAUGGAAAAGUUAAUCUAUUUAUUUUCCCAAAUAAAGCUACAACUGGUUUUGGCUUUUGCUUUUCGGAGGAUUUGGCUUCUGUUUCCUUAUGCAGACAUGGGCACUCACGGCAUC
This is a long non-coding RNA of Coffea eugenioides, 644 nucleotides long. RefSeq lists it as uncharacterized. The transcript is spliced from 3 exons. The record is from RefSeq and is a predicted model, not a curated record. Lineage: Eukaryota; Viridiplantae; Streptophyta; Magnoliopsida; Gentianales; Rubiaceae.